RNAcentral lists this long non-coding RNA (529 nucleotides) under Amphibalanus amphitrite. RNAcentral's name for it is "uncharacterized LOC122389568". Lineage: Eukaryota; Metazoa; Arthropoda; Thecostraca; Balanomorpha; Balanidae. The record is from RNAcentral.
CGCGACCAUUCGCGACCGCCAUUGUGCUCAAGUCGUCAGAACCAAGGCCAUCUGUCAGAGAACCGAGCAAGCGUCCCAGUCCUCGAAGGUGACUCUGCGGAAGAACAGCUUCCGACAGAAACUUCGGAACAGUCAACAGAUUCAAGAACUGUCGAAAGCCACUGAGCAUUGAGCAACGCCGUCAUCGACACGGAAAGACGAGCCAGGGGCAUCGUUGUGAAAAAGCGUGCGGCAGCUGAAGAGGGGAUGCCGGGGAUGUUUCCCAAAACGAAGAAGUCGAAGCUAGACAUCUGCACCGAAACCGCCAAGUUCAGUGCCAAGCUAAAGCACGCCGAUGUCACUCACAAAGACAUCUGUUCUCAAAGAUUCCUUCGAGGUUCGGCGGAUAUGCCUCACGAGCAACCGAAACCGGAAGACUGGCGAGGAGAUGAAGGAGAUAUUCCCGGAUAUGUACAGCGAAGCUGCCGUGUGGACUGACUUGGGAAUGAUCAUGGGGCUCGAGGAGGACGUGAAGGAGCAUGUCCUGCAC